AUUUCACCUCUAAAGCCUCCUCCGGGAAGGCCAGAGCCUCCACCACCGGCCACCCCUCCACCACCACCGCCACCUCGUGCUGCUGCUGCUCCGCCACCACCGCCUCCAAAACCACUGGGACCAAAGCGAGGUGAUAACGAUGAUUCAAAUGAUGCAGAUGGUGAUGAAGAAUCUGAAGCUCCCAAGCCGAAGUUGAAAC
Molecule: long non-coding RNA, 199 nt
Filed under: Linum usitatissimum (flax)
Lineage: Eukaryota; Viridiplantae; Streptophyta; Magnoliopsida; Malpighiales; Linaceae
Description: long non-coding RNA (LUSI_LNC000497)
Source: RNAcentral